GGGGUUGUGGCUCAAUGGUAGAGUGCUCACCUCACAUGUCCGAGAUCCUGGGUUCGAUCCUCAGCACCACA
RNAcentral lists this transfer RNA (71 nucleotides) under Marmota monax (woodchuck). RNAcentral describes it as "tRNA.Val". It matches the Rfam family "tRNA". Rfam says of the family: Transfer RNA (tRNA) molecules are approximately 80 nucleotides in length. Their secondary structure includes four short double-helical elements and three loops (D, anti-codon, and T loops). Further hydrogen bonds mediate the characteristic L-shaped molecular structure. tRNAs have two regions of fundamental functional importance: the anti-codon, which is responsible for specific mRNA codon recognition, and the 3' end, to which the tRNAs corresponding amino acid is attached (by aminoacyl-tRNA synthetases). tRNAs cope with the degeneracy of the genetic code in two manners: having more than one tRNA (with a specific anti-codon) for a particular amino acid; and 'wobble' base-pairing, i.e. permitting non-standard base-pairing at the 3rd anti-codon position. The record is from RNAcentral. Lineage: Eukaryota; Metazoa; Chordata; Mammalia; Rodentia; Sciuridae.